This 501-nucleotide ribosomal RNA is filed under the name uncultured Bacteroidota bacterium. RNAcentral's name for it is "bacterial SSU rRNA". It matches the Rfam family "Bacterial small subunit ribosomal RNA", at positions 355 to 854 of the family's 1533-position model. The record is from RNAcentral. Lineage: Bacteria; Pseudomonadati; Bacteroidota.
UAAGGAAUAUUGGUCAAUGGACGCAAGUCUGAACCAGCCAUGCCGCGUGGAGGAUGAAGGCCCUCUGGGUUGUAAACUUCUUUUCUUUGGGACGAAACCCCUAUUUCUAUGGGGACUGACGGUACCAGAGGAAUAAGCACCGGCUAACUCCGUGCCAGCAGCCGCGGUAAUACGGAGGGUGCAAGCGUUAUCCGGAUUCACUGGGUUUAAAGGGAGCGUAGGUGGACUUUUUAAGUCAGUGGUGAAAUCUCUGGGCUUAACCCGGAAACUGCCAUUGAUACUAUUAGUCUUGAAUUCUCUGGAGGUAAGCGGAAUAUGUCAUGUAGCGGUGAAAUGCUUAGAUAUGACAUAGAACACCCAUUGCGAAGGCAGCUUACUACGGAGACAUUGACACUGAGGCUCGAAAGCGUGGGGAGUCAAACAGGAUUAGAUACCCUGGUAGUCCACGCCCUAAACGAUGAUUACUCGACAUUAGCGAUAUUACUGUUAGUGUCUAAGACG